GCAUAACGCGAAGAACCUUACCAAGGCUUGACAUAUACGAGAACGCCGUAGAAAUACGGAACUCUUUGGACACUCGUAUACAGGUGGUGCAUGGUUGUCGUCAGCUCGUGUCGUGAGAUGUUGGGUUAAGUCCCGCAACGAGCGCAACCCUCGUCGUAUGUUGCCAGCACGUAAUGGUGGGAACUCAUAUGAGACUGCCGGGGUCAACUCGGAGGAAGGUGGGGAUGAGGUCAAAUCAUCAUGCCCCUUAUGUCUUGGGCUUUACGCAUGCUACAAUGGCCGGUACAAAGGGCUGCAAUACCGCGAGGUGGAGCGAAUCCCAAAAAGCCGGUCUCAGUUCGGAUUGAGGUCUGCAACUCGACCCCAUGAAGUCGGAGUCGCUAGUAAUCGUGAAUCAGCAACGUCACGGUGAAUACGUUCCCGGGUCUUGUACACACCG
This 439-nucleotide ribosomal RNA is filed under the name uncultured bacterium. Its description in RNAcentral is "bacterial SSU rRNA". It matches the Rfam family "Bacterial small subunit ribosomal RNA", at positions 954 to 1392 of the family's 1533-position model. The record is from RNAcentral.